CUGUUGUGGACAUUUGAUUUAAGUGGAAUAACACAAGGUCUUUUGUGCCUGGCUUCUUUCACUUAUAGCAUGAUGUUUUUCAGUGAAAAAGUGGGAAGAUGAAGUGUUUGGAGGGCUUUUAAAUGGAGUAAAAUGGAAACAAAGACAAGUUAUCUCAACACCAAAAAGAGUAGGGGAUAGAAGGAUAUGUCAAGGUUUGAAAACCAUCCUUCAGAAAUGCAGGAAAGUUAAAGCUGGAAGCUGUGCUAAUGGUCUAUCAAGAUAUCCUGAGUUUCCAGUAGAGAUGUUUCAGCCAUAACACGGGCCUGGUAGACAAAGCCUGAAGACAAAUACCACUAUGAAUGGUUACAUCUAGGACUUCUGAGAUUAGCCCCAGAUUCAACUCAUUUUUUUUUUGCAUUUGCUCAGCAAUAUGACAUGUUUACACUGAUUAGCUAAAAAGUUAUGUGAAGAAUGGGCAACAAUAUCUCUAAGGCAAGAUAUGCUCAGAUCCAAUAUAGUUCAUAUAGACCUUGUCAGAGUAAAUGACCAUGUGCCUUUCAGAACACUAAAGAAUAAAGUCCUUCCACAUUAGAAUGACAAAUAUGUUUUUAUAAUCAAACUGUUUUAUUCCCAACUUUAUUACUUCCAACUGAGUACAAUAGAGGCUGUUCUACCAUUCUCCAAUUUUCCCUGAGUAACAUAAAACCGAUCAGUGUGCACAAUUAAAAGACUACAUUUCUCAACCUUCUUUUGGCAUCAUGUGACUAAAUUUUUGUCAAAGAGAGAAAGGCAGAAGCAUUGCCUAUGCGCUCCAGAAGACUUUGUGAAAGAUAGUGGGGGAUUUCUGAUUUCUUCUUUUCCUGAUAUUCCAAUAGGCAUGUGUUAGACCUUUUGACAUUGUCCUGUAGUUCUUGGAUGUUCUGUGCUUUGUUUUUUUAUUUUAUUUUAUUUUUUUUAUUUUUAUUCUCUUUUCUGUUUGCCUCUCAUUUUGGGAAG
RNAcentral lists this long non-coding RNA (978 nucleotides) under Pan troglodytes (chimpanzee). Its description in RNAcentral is "lncRNA (ENSPTRG00000053940.1)". The record is from RNAcentral. Lineage: Eukaryota; Metazoa; Chordata; Mammalia; Primates; Hominidae.